UGGGGAAUUUUGGACAAUGGGCGAAAGCCUGAUCCAGCAAUGCCGCGUGUGUGAAGAAGGCCUUCGGGUUGUAAAGCACUUUUGUCCGGAAAGAAAUCCUUGGCUCUAAUGCAGUCGGGGGAUGACGGUACCGGAAGAAUAAGCACCGGCUAACUACGUGCCAGCAGCCGCGGUAAUACGUAGGGUGCAAGCGUUAAUCGGAAUUACUGGGCGUAAAGCGUGCGCAGGCGGUUUGCUAAGACCGAUGUGAAAUCCCCGGGCUCAACCUGGGAACUGCAUUGGUGACUGGCAGGCUAGAGUAUGGCAGAGGGGGGUAGAAUUCCACGUGUAGCAGUGAAAUGCGUAGAGAUGUGGAGGAAUACCGAUGGCGAAGGCAGCCCCCUGGGCCAAUACUGACGCUCAUGCACGAAAGCGUGGGGAGCAAACAGGAUUAGAUACCCUGGUAGUCCACGCCCUAAACGAUGUCAACUAGUUGUUGGGGAUUCAUUUCCUUAGUAACGUAGCUAACGCGUGAAGUUGACCGCCUGGGGAGUACGUCGCAAGAUUAAAACUCAAAGGAAUUG
Molecule: ribosomal RNA, 563 nt
Filed under: uncultured bacterium
Lineage: Bacteria
Description: partial 16S ribosomal RNA
Rfam family: Bacterial small subunit ribosomal RNA
Source: RNAcentral